CAUGCAAGUCGUACGAGAGUUUUUAACUCUAGUGGCGGACGGGUGAGUAACACGUGAGAAUUUGCCUUUAGGAGGGGGAUAACAAUUGGAAACGAAUGCUAAUACCCCAUAUGCUUUCGAGUGAAAUGGAUUUAUAUUUAUCCGCCUAGAGAGAAGCUCGCGGCUGAUUAGCUUGUUGGUAAGGUAAGAGCUUACCAAGGCGACGAUCAGUAUCUGGUUUGAGAGGACGAUCAGACACACUGGAACUGAGACACGGUCCAGACUCCUACGGGAGGCAGCAGUGGGGAAUUUUCCGCAAUGGGCGAAAGCCUGACGGAGCAAUACCGCGUGAGGGAAGACUGCCUAUGGGUUGUAAACCUCUUUUUUCAGGGAGGAAUCAAUGACGUGUACCUGAAGAAUAAGCAUCGGCUAACUCCGUGCCAGCAGCCGCGGUAAGACGGAGGAUGCAAGUGUUAUCCGGAAUCACUGGGCGUAAAGCGUCUGUAGGUGGUUUAAUGAGUCAACUGUUUAAUCUUGAGGCUCAACUUCAAAAUCGCAGUCGAAACUAUUAGACUAGAGUAUAGUAGAGGUAAAGGGAAUUUCCAGUGGAGCGGUGAAAUGCGUAGAUAUUGGAAAGAACACCGAUGGCGAAAGCACUUUACUGGGCUAUUACUAACA
RNAcentral lists this ribosomal RNA (657 nucleotides) under uncultured bacterium. Its description in RNAcentral is "bacterial SSU rRNA". It matches the Rfam family "Bacterial small subunit ribosomal RNA", at positions 54 to 745 of the family's 1533-position model. The record is from RNAcentral.